RNAcentral lists this ribosomal RNA (367 nucleotides) under uncultured organism. RNAcentral's name for it is "bacterial SSU rRNA". It matches the Rfam family "Bacterial small subunit ribosomal RNA", at positions 526 to 896 of the family's 1533-position model. The record is from RNAcentral.
CGUAGGUGGCAAGCGUUGUCCGGAUUUAUGGGUUUAAAGGGUGCGUAGGCGGCUUUGUAAGUCAGUGGUGAAAUACUCCAGCUCAACUGGAGAGGUGCCAUUGAUACUGCAGAGCUAGAGUACUGAUGAGGUAGGCGGAAUGGACGGUGUAGCGGUGAAAUGCUUAGAUAUCGUCCAGAACACCGAUAGCGAAGGCAGCUUACUAAAGAGUAACUGACGCUGAGGCACGAAAGUGUGGGGAUCAAACAGGAUUAGAUACCCUGGUAGUCCACACUGUAAACGUUGAUCACUAGAUGUUGGCGAUACACUGCCAGCGUUCCAGCAAAAGCGAUAAGUGAUCCACCUGGGGAGUACGCCCGCAAGGGUG